GGGGUGGUAGCUCAGUUGGUCAGAGCCGCGGACUUUUAAUCCGCCGGUCGUGGGUUCGAGUCCCACUCACCCCACCA
Molecule: transfer RNA, 77 nt
Filed under: Streptomyces sp. H27-H5
Lineage: Bacteria; Bacillati; Actinomycetota; Actinomycetes; Kitasatosporales; Streptomycetaceae
Also listed under: 1 other name
Description: tRNA-Lys
Rfam family: tRNA
About the family: Transfer RNA (tRNA) molecules are approximately 80 nucleotides in length. Their secondary structure includes four short double-helical elements and three loops (D, anti-codon, and T loops). Further hydrogen bonds mediate the characteristic L-shaped molecular structure. tRNAs have two regions of fundamental functional importance: the anti-codon, which is responsible for specific mRNA codon recognition, and the 3' end, to which the tRNAs corresponding amino acid is attached (by aminoacyl-tRNA synthetases). tRNAs cope with the degeneracy of the genetic code in two manners: having more than one tRNA (with a specific anti-codon) for a particular amino acid; and 'wobble' base-pairing, i.e. permitting non-standard base-pairing at the 3rd anti-codon position.
Source: RNAcentral